GGCAUUAAUCAUUGGCUGCAAAUAAUGUAAGUAGCAAAUGUCACAGCCAAUCUUGAUGUCA
RNAcentral lists this microRNA precursor (61 nucleotides) under Gyrodactylus salaris (gyrodactylosis fluke). RNAcentral's name for it is "microRNA gsa-mir-2c precursor". Its record names the gene gsa-mir-2c. Lineage: Eukaryota; Metazoa; Platyhelminthes; Monogenea; Gyrodactylidea; Gyrodactylidae. The record is from miRBase by way of RNAcentral.